CCAAGGAGUCUAGCAUGUGCGCGAGUCAUUGGGACUCUAACGAAACCUAAAGGCGCAAUGAAAGUGAAGGUUCGCCACGCGCGAACCGAGGGAGGAUGGACGGUCGUACGUGGCCGUCCCGCACUCCCUGGGCGUCUCGUUCUCAUCGCGAGAAGAGGCGCACCAAGAGCGUACACGCUGGGACCCGAAAGAUGGUGAACUAUGCCUGGUCAGGACGAAGUCAGGGGAAACCCUGAUGGAGGUCCGUAGCGAUUCUGACGUGCAAAUCGAUCGUCGGAACUGGGUAUAGGGGCGAAAGACUAAUCGAACCAUCUAGUAGCUGGUUCCCUCCGAAGUUUCCCUCAGGAUAGCUGGCGCUCGCUUCUCGCGAGUCUCAUUCGGUAAAGCGAAUGAUUAGAGGCAUUGGGGUCGAAACGGCCUCAACCUAUUCUCAAACUUUAAAUGGGUGAGAUCUCCGGCUUGCUUGAACUGUGAAGCCGCGAGAUAUCGGAUCAGAGUGCCAAGUGGGCCACUUUUGGUAAGCAGAACUGGCGCUGUGGGAUGAACCAAACGCCGAGUUAAAGCGCCUAAAUCGACGCUUAUGGGAUACCAUGAAAGGCGUUGGUAACUUAAGACAGCAGGACGGUGGCCAUGGAAGUCGGAAUCCGCCAAGGAGUGUGUAACAACUCACCUGCCGAAGUUACUAGCCCUGAAAAUGGAUGGCGCUGAAGCGUCGUGCUUAUACUCUGCCGUCAGCGGCAUGUGAGACGGUCCUUAAGAGGUCGUCAUGAAGCCCUGACGAGUAGGAGGGUCGCGGCGGUGAGCGCAGAAGGACCAGGCGCGAGCCAGUCUGGAGCCGCCGUCGGUGCAGAUCUUGGUGGUAGUAGCAAAUACUCCAGCGAGGCCCUGGAGGACUGACGUGGAGAAGGGUUUCGUGUGAACAGCCGUUGCACACGAGUCAGUCGAUCCUAAGCCAUAGGCGAAAGCCGAUGUCGAUGCGGUGUAUCUUUCAGUGUCUCUUUAUAGGACGGAGAGAAUCACACCCGUCGGGCGAAAGGGAAUCCGGUUCCUAUUCCGGAACCCGGCAGCGGAACCGUUAUUAAGUCGUGCCCUCAUUCAGAGAGUUCGUCGGGGCAACCCAAAAGGACCUGGAGACGCCGUCGGGAGAUCCGGGAAGAGUUUUCUUUUCUGCAUAAGCGCUCGAGUUCCAUGGAAUCCUCUAGCAGGGAGAUAUGGUUUGGAGCGCGAAGAGCACCGCAGUUGCGGCGGUGUCCGGAUCUUCCCCUCGGACCUUGAAAAUCCAGGAGAGGGCCACGUGGAGGCGUCGCGCCGGUUCGUACCCAUAUCCGCAGCAGGUCUCCAAGGUGAAGAGCCUCUAGUCCGAUAGAAUA
RNAcentral lists this ribosomal RNA (1370 nucleotides) under Anomala sp. 249. Its description in RNAcentral is "eukaryotic LSU rRNA". It matches the Rfam family "Eukaryotic large subunit ribosomal RNA", at positions 666 to 1897 of the family's 3401-position model. Lineage: Eukaryota; Metazoa; Arthropoda; Insecta; Coleoptera; Scarabaeidae. The record is from RNAcentral.